This 590-nucleotide ribosomal RNA is filed under the name Rothia dentocariosa. RNAcentral describes it as "bacterial SSU rRNA". It matches the Rfam family "Bacterial small subunit ribosomal RNA", at positions 371 to 971 of the family's 1533-position model. Lineage: Bacteria; Bacillati; Actinomycetota; Actinomycetes; Micrococcales; Micrococcaceae. The record is from RNAcentral.
AUGGGCGCAAGCCUGAUGCAGCGACGCCGCGUGAGGGAUGACGGCCUUCGGGUUGUAAACCUCUGUUAGCAUCGAAGAAGCGAAAGUGACGGUAGGUGCAGAGAAAGCGCCGGCUAACUACGUGCCAGCAGCCGCGGUAAUACGUAGGGCGCGAGCGUUGUCCGGAAUUAUUGGGCGUAAAGAGCUUGUAGGCGGUUGGUCGCGUCUGCUGUGAAAGGCUGGGGCUUAACCCUGGUUUUGCAGUGGGUACGGGCUAACUAGAGUGCAGUAGGGGAGACUGGAAUUCCUGGUGUAGCGGUGGAAUGCGCAGAUAUCAGGAGGAACACCGAUGGCGAAGGCAGGUCUCUGGGCUGUAACUGACGCUGAGAAGCGAAAGCAUGGGGAGCGAACAGGAUUAGAUACCCUGGUAGUCCAUGCCGUAAACGUUGGGCACUAGGUGUGGGGGACAUUCCACGUUUUCCGCGCCGUAGCUAACGCAUUAAGUGCCCCGCCUGGGGAGUACGGCCGCAAGGCUAAAACUCAAAGAAAUUGACGGGGGCCCGCACAAGCGGCGGAGCAUGCGGAUUAAUUCGAUGCAACGCGAAGAACCU